GUGCUUUGGUUACUCUUCAGAUCGAGUAAAUCUUUUGCCUUUUACUAAAGAUUUCCGUGGAGAGAAACAACUUUGAGUCAUAACCCAAUUUUUAAAAAAAAUUUUUUCUUCAUUUUU
Jaculus jaculus (lesser Egyptian jerboa) is the source of this 117-nucleotide small nuclear RNA. RefSeq annotates it as U5 spliceosomal RNA. The transcript has a single exon. The record is from RefSeq and is a predicted model, not a curated record. Lineage: Eukaryota; Metazoa; Chordata; Mammalia; Rodentia; Dipodidae.